This is a non-coding RNA of Bactrocera oleae (olive fruit fly), 5526 nucleotides long. NCBI's taxonomy places the organism in Eukaryota, Metazoa, Arthropoda, Insecta, Diptera, Tephritidae. The record is from RefSeq and is a predicted model, not a curated record.
GCUACUUAUUGUACAUUCGAUUUUUGAACUUGCUAGUGUAUCAAUCUCUUUCUUUUGUCCGACAAGUUUAUUAAGUUUGUCACGAUGAUUGUAACACCCUAAAGGAAAGGUCGGGGACAUUAUAAUGUUUAUAUGCAAGUGAUCAGCGUCUGGAACGGCAGACAGACUGAAAAUUUUUUUAUUUAACGAAAUAUCUUCACCAAAAUUUGGCACGGAUUAUUGUUUAAGGCAAUGGUGUAAUCUCCGAAGAAAUUGUUCAUCUACAUCAAAUUUGGCACGGAUUAUUGUUCAAGCCAAUGGUGCAAUCUCCGUAGAAAUUGUUCAUAUACGAUCACUAAAGCAUAUAGCUUCAAUACAAACCGAUCGAUCGGAAUCAAGUGCUUAUAUGAAAAACUUUUUCAUGUUACGAAAUAUCCUUACCAAAUGUGGCACGAAUUAUUGUUCGAGGCAAUGGUGCAAUCUUCGAAGAAAUUGUUCAGAUCGGAUCACUAAAGCUGUCAUACAAACUAAACCAUCGGAAUCUAGUGUUUGUAAUGCCAAAGACAGACAUAUUUUAGUAUGCUACAGAAACCAAUUGUAUAAAUGGUAAACCAAUUUUUGUUCCAAAGCAAAUGGAGUUCUGUACUACAAUAGUGUUCAAAAAACCAAUGAAAUUAUAUGGUGUUCUAUAUUGUACCAUUAUGUAUUCCACUGAACACACCCAAAGCUUAAAGCUUAAAAACUAAAAUAACCGGAAAUAUUAUAAAAAAAUAAAAAAAAUCGAAAAAAUGUUGUUGCAAGGCAAUAUUGCUUGGUCUUUUUUAAUGCCCAUAGAGAUAGUGUAAAAUUAUUUGUUUUCCUCCUCAGGUAAUAAAAUAUUAUAAGAUUCUUUGCUGUCAUAAGCAAUUUGGUUCAUGCCAGGUUUGUGUUUAUUUUUGUUUUUAGUUGAAUUAAAUUUUUUUGCAUCAGCUGAUAAGUCAAACAUAUACCAUCAUACCCAUAUUGUUUCCUGAGCUUUUAUUGAACAUUGUUGUACAGAAACCAUAUGUCUGUCUUUAACAUUUGGAAUCUUGUAUUUGUGUAGUGUAUCUAAGCUUCGGUGCAACCGAAGUUAAUGUUUAUAUUGUUUGUUAUUUUAUAUAAUGAGAUAUUGAGGAUUAAAAGUUUCAACAUCAAUUUCAACGUGUAAGAACAAAGUAUACUCUUUUGUAAUGCCUUCGAAAUAUUUUUGAGAUUGCGUCUCACCGCGCGAAAAUGUCAAAUGGAAAAUAGGUUAAGGAAAUGGCCUCAAACUUUACACUUUGCGGUAAAGUCAAAUAUGUUAGGCACCGAUUUAUUAGGAGUGAUAGAAUAAUCGUGAAAAGCGAAAACAAAUUCCUGAGUCAGCAAAUCGAAUACUGGUAAACAGCUCUACGACUGCAGUGCGUGGCAUGAGUCUGCACAUUCCUAUUCCCACAUUCAAUGCCAUACCAUAUGUGUUGGCCCACGGUAGCAACGAGAACGGCAACAGCGCAUGUACGUAACGACCGCAGCAGCAGUAAGGCUUUUAAUAUCAAUGUGCAACAAUGAAAUAUCAGAAAACCAUGUACAUGUUUAGUAACACAUAUUUGGUAUUUUAUGAUUUUAACACUCAUCUGCUUCAUCAUAACGAGCUUUUAAUAACCAGAUUAUUUUGCUAAUCGUUCUAUUUUGGAGCUAUUGCCGGUUCCACGGUCAUUGCACGUUCCCAAGGUUCCACACACUCUACAAACCACCUCUUCUCAUCCUCUGGUCGAACCGGUCUAAGAUUUAAGAAUCUUGGGGACCAAUUAUUAAAGGUAUGUGUAGCGAUACCAGAGUAAAACCUAAACUCCACACUAGGCUGUAUAGACAUUUUGGAAUUUCAGCCCCUUUUUAGCAAUUUAAUUUACAUAACCCGAACAAACUGCUAUAAAGCUAUGAUCUGGAACAUAUUCUGAAUUUGGUAGUCUUUAUUUUUAUUUUGACUUCUAAUUUUUUUGAAUUAAAAUUUGUUUGCUUGAUGUCAAAAUUAUAGAAAGCGUAUUGUUGUGACAGAAAAUCUAAAGGCUUUGAUUAAUGAACGCACUCACCAUCAUUGUACCUUGAACAACACAAUACAUUUUCUAUGAUUUCUUGCUCGAUACUUAAGUUCCGACUGCGUUGGCUUGGAACAAAAAUUCAAAGAGGACUUGUAUCAUACUCCAAUAUGUCUAUCUAGAACAAUUAGAUUAUAUUAGAAAAAAUCGACUUAAUAUGUUGAAAAUAGUGGAAUUUCCAAACAGUAUUUAGCAAAAGUUUUAAGUGCUCUUCAAAGAUUUACCCAUUAAAAUAAAAACAAUUAUUUCAUAAUUGUUUACAUAUUUACUUUGUAGUUUCGAAUCUUAACUAUUAUAAUAUUUUUAUUUUUUCAUACAAAUUUACUCAUAAACUAUACAAUCGUGUUUCGUAUAUUUAUAAAGAACUAUAUAUGGCUAUAUAAAUAUUAUUAUUUAAAUUUUUAUAUGUGAAAAAGCUGUUUAUUACAUUAAAAGAGCCAACACAUUAAGAAUUAGUGUUAAACGGAUUCACCCUGACUUUAGUACCAAAAUGAAACAUUUAAAUGCACGUCUAAUUAACACUAAUUGCCGCUGAUUGUAGUCGUAUAUAUAUGGCUCAAGUAUAAAUUAAAAUAUGUUGUAUAGUUCAUAUGAGCCAUAAUGCGAUGUUUUCUUAAAGGAAGUCUUGGAGAUAAGGACAACAUACUGGCCCAUUGUCCUUCGCAAAGGUCAUCGUAUCGAAGAAAACCUACUUCGUGUCCACCAAGACUGCCAUGUCCGCGGCAUACCGCCACUUGACCAUCCCACAAUUUUCCAGAGAACUCCCGUAUCCAUCGCGCUAAAUACAAAACCUUGCAAUCACAAUGCCAGGGAUUCUUAUCCAGUUUGACUGCGACUAACUUUUUUAAACUACUGAACGCCCCGUUUUGUAAAUAUUGCAAUUUAUUCGAGUCAAUUCGUCUGCAAAAAAAAAAAAUUAUCUUUUAAAAUUGUGAAAGUAAGGACUGAAUGCGAAAAAAUCCAAGAAUACAUUGUGCGGUACUUUUAUAUUUUCGAAAGAUAUUGCAUAAAGUAUAAUAUUGUAUAAUAGUGGUUGUUUGAAACACAUCAAGAUGACGAUAACUUAUCUGAAAAUAAAGAUAUCUUGGUAAAAUAUAAUAAGUUUUCUUUGACGGAAAUUAGGAGAAAUAUGAGGACCUCAGUACUCUUAAUGGAAUUCAAAGGGUAUCUCUUCCUAAAAAAAUGAAACGAAAUAAAUCGAAACUCAAACUUCCUAUAUGCUUUAUACCAUAUAAAUCGGUCCAUAGAUAUCUUAGAAAGAUUAUCUGAACUUUAAAUCUUAGAUAUUAAAUAGCUUGGGGUCAAAAUUAGGUUCAUGAAUUACCCCCACUUUUGGUUGGCAAAAUCCUCCGCUGAACCCUCCACGGGGGUGCCGACUGGGAAUAGAUACCACAGGUUCACGACGUGGGCAAGGGCGAGCUGGCAGCAGUUCGCCCCUGUUGUAGUAGUGAGGUAUCUAGCUAAAGUCAGGCUUAAUAUCUGGGUGUUCGGUACUCUUCAAUAGUGCAGCAUCCAGAUAGGAGGUCUUACCAUGGUAGGAGGUAUAUAAAGGGCUGGAUCAAGGUAUCAUGCGACCCGUGCCGAAGAUCAACCUGGCUGGGGGCCCUUAAAUAAUCCAGUCUCGCACGGAGCGUCCUCCGUAAUAAGAUAGCCUUACUUGCGUAGCGGGGGCUAUGCGCAAGCGGACAUACUUUCCCUUACCCUCGUGGGUCAAAAAUUUUGAGCCAAAACUUUAUAAACAAAAACAAAAAGGAGUUCGGACCUCCUUCAAAAAGACCGGAGUGAGCGAGUUGUUCCCAAAGGAGCGCAGCGUUUGGCACGAGCUCGACAACAGCCAAAGCGAGGACAGGAGCGAAGCUUGGUCCUGGAGCAAAGCCAAAUACUAAAGGGGUAGAAGCCAAGACUGGCGCCAAGAAAGCAGCAGCGCUGGAGGCAGCCCAUACCAACCCCUGUAGCCAAGGCUUGGCAGCUAAGCAGGAGAAGGAAGGAGACGCCAAAAGCGAUGCUGCCAGUAGUGGGUCAGCCAGAGAAUUUGACCCAGCAAAAGCGAAGUAUGCAGAGAGGCGACGCGCUGCAUACCUGCUGAAGAAGAUGGAGCUGCAACCGGCAACCAAUGAGGAGCUCACAAAGGAGCUCCAGGAAUCCAUUGAUUACGCGAGAGCUAUUCUACCUAACUUCAAGCUAGAAGCGCCGGUAGUGGCGGCUAAAAGACAAAGGUCAGCUGAAGAGGCUAAGAGGGCUUAGCUAAGAGAGCGAAAACUAAGGGCGUGACGCCCGCAAGAACUUUUGCUGAUGUGGCCCGAAACCGCAUUGUCAUUGGUAGGAUGAGGGUGACCCCGAAGGAAAAAUCCCCAGAGACCAAUGGAAAUGGGUGCAAGCCGCACUGACAAAUGUGGCUUUGGAAGUGCUACUAAGCAAUCUAGGUCCAUCCCCGUCAUGUGCGGAUGCCGGAUGGUAUCAAGGGCAGAUAAAGAUGAUAGCGUGUGAUGACGAGAGAUCUGUCCAGCUAUAUAAGGCAGCAAUAGCUAAGGUGGGGGAGGUCUACCCCGGAGCCAAGUUAGUAGCGGUAGAUAGAAAAGACAUCCCAUCUCGACCGAGGGCAAGGGUAUGGAUCCCGGCUACACCAUCGCAGCCGGACCAAUUAAUGCAGCUCAUAAGAGCCUGCAACCCGAAUCUGCCAACUGGGAGAUGGAGAUUCGUCAAAGCCUUUGACGACCCCGCAGCGGAAUCUCGUGUGGAGACGAAACGAGCCACAAUGCAGAUUUUGUUGCUUCUAACAAAAUAAUCUGUAAAACCGCUAGCGAAAAGUGGCGGAGAGAUCAACUACGGAUUCACAAAAAAGAAGGUCAUGACCUACAAGUCAGACGCCGAUGCAGGAGAAAACUUGGCAUCGGAAUCGGAGUGCGAAGUCGAGGAAGAUCCAGCGGAGUUCUCGAACGACGCAUAGAACACAGAUCAAGGUGAGUGUAUUUCGGGGUCUGAGCUUGCGAACAGACUCCCUAAACUUUACACUGAGAGUGAUCUUUUAAGCGACUUUCAUGCUGAUGCAGAGAAGACAAUAACUAAUGCAUCUUCUCCAAAUGAAUCUACACCACAGCAAACUAGCGUCUCUAGCCCUAGUUAACCGCAUGGCAGAAGAACGGCCUGACUUCGUCCUCAUUCAGGAGCCAUGGGUUAAUGGAGGGCGUAUUUGCGGCCUGAGGACACCGGGAUAUAAUUUAUACGCGAAUGGUUGUGUAGUUACAGUAGUAACGACACUACAGUAGUAAGCUGGGAGACGGCUGAGAAGAAAUACCGGCUGGCAUCAUGCUACAUGCCGUACGACGAGGUAGCAGUACCAUCACAGCUGUAAGAGCUGGUACGUGACACCGAAGCAUCCAAGUGUUCGAUUAUACUUGGGUGCGACUCCAAUGCGCACCACACUCUUAUGGGGAGGUACGGAUAUUAAUGA